This 228-nucleotide ribosomal RNA is filed under the name uncultured bacterium. RNAcentral describes it as "partial 16S ribosomal RNA". It matches the Rfam family "Bacterial small subunit ribosomal RNA", at positions 524 to 751 of the family's 1533-position model. The record is from RNAcentral.
UACGUAGGGUGCAAGCGUUAAUCGGAAUUACUGGGCGUAAAGCGUGCGCAGGCGGUUAUGUAAGACAGUUGUGAAAUCCCCGGGCUCAACCUGGGAACUGCAUCUGUGACUGCAUAGCUAGAGUACGGUAGAGGGGGAUGGAAUUCCGCGUGUAGCAGUGAAAUGCGUAGAUAUGCGGAGGAACACCGAUGGCGAAGGCAAUCCCCUGGACCUGUACUGACGCUCAGG